AUAUGUUGCGUGCUCCUUAUGAGAAUCUAAUGCCUGAUGAUCUGAGGUGGAGCUGAGGCAGUGAUGCUAGCACUGGGGAGCGGCUGCAAAUACAGAUUAUCAUUAGCGGAGAGGUUUGACUGCACAGAGACCAUGAUAAAUCAACUGCUUGCAGACUCAUAUCAAAACCCAAUCUGUGGGUGUCAAGUGAAAACAAGCUCAGGGCUCCCACUGAUUCUGCAUUAUGAGUCAUCCCAACAGCAACACAAAGACCAGAUGGUUUCUGCAUUAUAGUUCCUGCUGCCAAGCCUGAGGAGCUGCCUGGAACUGCCAGUUUUCCAAGACGGGUGCUCCAGACUCUUGUUAAUACUUGUGCACCUGAUACGCUUCUGAUAUACGUAUUCUGGCUUUCUUUUUCCAUUUCUUUUUCUUUUUCCUUCCCUUCCUCCCUCCCUUCCUUCCUUCCUCUCUGUCUCUCCCUUCCUUCCUUCCAACCUUCCUUCCUUUCUCUCUCUCUCUCUCUCUUUCUUUUCAACCACAUUUGGUCUCAGUGGCUUACAACCAAGACUCUUGACAGAUUCAAGGCCUAAUGAACAGAAACUACCAGACUAUGGUGCAGCUUCAUCUCAUAUAGGUGGUGGGAUAUGAGGAAAAUCUUAUACCCAGUCUGAGCCUGUUUGCUCAUGUGGAAUGCUAUGAUUCCUAGAAGAACUGGGCAGUAAUUAUCACAUUUUCGUGCUUCUCUGAAUGAUCUACAAUUUGUGACACUUGAGCCAUGUCUGGAAGGAUGAAUGGGG
Long non-coding RNA from Lagenorhynchus albirostris (white-beaked dolphin), 776 nucleotides. RefSeq lists it as uncharacterized. NCBI's taxonomy places the organism in Eukaryota, Metazoa, Chordata, Mammalia, Artiodactyla, Delphinidae. The transcript is spliced from 3 exons. The record is from RefSeq and is a predicted model, not a curated record.